UUGACCUCGGAUCAGGUAGGAAUACCCGCUGAACUUAAGCAUAUCAAUAAGGCGGAGGAAAG
RNAcentral lists this ribosomal RNA (62 nucleotides) under Fusarium asiaticum. RNAcentral's name for it is "partial 28S ribosomal RNA". The record is from RNAcentral. Lineage: Eukaryota; Fungi; Ascomycota; Sordariomycetes; Hypocreales; Nectriaceae.